UUCGGAUGGAGCGGCAGACGGGUGAGUACGCGUGGGAACGUACCUUUUGGUUCGGAAUAUCUCGGGAAACUGAGAGCAAUACCGGAUAAGCCCUACGGGGGAAAGAUUUAUCGCCAAAAGAGCGGCCCGCGUUAGAUUAGCUAGUUGGUGGGGUAAAGGCCUACCAAGGCUACGAUCUAUAGCUGGUCUGAGAGGAUGAUCAGCCACAUUGGGACUGAGACACGGCCCAAACUCCUACGGGAGGCAGCAGUGGGGAAUCUUGGACAAUGGGCGCAAGCCUGAUCCAGCCAUGCCGCGUGGAUGAUGAAGGCCUUCGGGUUGUAAAAUCCUUUCAACGGGGACGAUAAUGACGGUACCCGUAGAAGAAGCCCCGGCUAACUUCGUGCCAGCAGCCGCGGUAAUACGAAGGGGGCUAGCGUUGCUCGGAAUUACUGGGCGUAAAGCGUACGUAGGCGGAUAUUUAAGUCGGAGGUGAAAGCCCAGUGCUCAACCCUGGAACUGCCCUCGAUACUGGGUAUCUGGACCAAAGUAGAGGUUAGUGGAAUUCCAAGUGUAGAGGUGAA
This 563-nucleotide ribosomal RNA is filed under the name uncultured bacterium. RNAcentral describes it as "bacterial SSU rRNA". It matches the Rfam family "Bacterial small subunit ribosomal RNA", at positions 85 to 685 of the family's 1533-position model. The record is from RNAcentral.